RNAcentral lists this long non-coding RNA (1908 nucleotides) under Homo sapiens (human). RNAcentral's name for it is "long intergenic non-protein coding RNA 662". Lineage: Eukaryota; Metazoa; Chordata; Mammalia; Primates; Hominidae. The record is from RNAcentral.
GACACCACCCCAGCCAGCAUGGCCGGCAGGAGCGCACCGCGCUGUCUCCCUCCAGGGAUCCGCACCGCCCUACAAUCCUGCUUUGUGCUGAGAUUGUAGUCCUGCAGGCGUACAACUAACAAGCUGGGUGCAGAUAAGAGACUACAGCUCCCCGCAUCCCAAGCAAAGGUCCCUCCUCUACGGAGCCCCUCCACGCGUCCACUGCGGUUCCGCCGUGCCAAGGGGAGCUUGGCUGUUCACGGGCCUCACCUGCUAGCGAGAAGAUAGCUUGGCCGGGCGGCUGAUCUCACCUUGUAAUUCUGACACUGUGUCUCCCGGGCUUGUCGGCUUCAUGACUUGUGCCCAAAGUUUGAUUUCUCGCAGACCAGGUAAAAGCCAAGAGGCUCUCAUAGGCGCCUUGGCAGAGUUGCCAUUGGAACGGGCGUCCUCUAGUAGCUGGGAUCUCCCCGCCCCUUCCUCCUGAGGGGCCACUCCUUUCUGCCCCACCCUUCUUAUUGCCCCACCCUUUGCCACACUCCUUCAGAGAUGCGCAGUGCUGCCCCUUUCUAUGGGCAGGGCCGAAGGUCCGCGUGUAAAAGUACCCAGUCCCUGGUAACCUGACACUUCCCUUUUAAAAGCCACCUUUUGUCUAUCUCUGGCCUGCCACGAUUCUUCCUGUGCUCCAUAGGAGGACCCAUUGGACCCCCGGGCUGGCUGCAGGGCCCACACCUGGGUUAGACCUCGCACAGGGACGCUGCUGCCACUGUAAUAAAGCGUGCCUACACGCUUCUGAAACUGGUGUAGGAACAACCUCAGUUCUGUGAAAGGCGGACGCAGCAGGACAGAAUCUCCGUGGACAUCUGUCUGGAGGAGCAAUUUUACUGCGACAUUUUAAAGAAACAAAUUUAAUUGAUUUCCAAGGGUGUCCAUCGCGCUUCCUUCACUGCCUUGAUCAUGUCGGGGUCACCACCUGCGGGGGUUUGUCCUGCAGACCCUGACUCAACGACGGAUGAAUAAUGUACACUGACACAGAUCUUAUGCUUGUCAGUCCUGCUGAGCAUCCAGGCCACUUACAGACUCCAAGAAGAGUCCUGUCAGCCACGGCUCUGACUUGUUGGCCCUCCCGGCAUUUAUUUAGCACACAUUUAAUGACAGAAGUCUCAGGCUGGAAACACUCUUUUUGUAGAACAUACAAAUGGACAUUUCUAAGCACAUUGAGGCCUAUAAUGAAAAAUCAAAUAUCCCACAAUGAAAACUAGAAGGAAGCUAUCUGUGAUAAUGCUUUGUGGUGUAUGGAUUCAUCUCACUGACUGAAACCUGAGUUUUGAUUCACCAGGUUGGAAACACUCUUUUUGUAGAAUGUAUGAAGAGAUAUUUCUGAGGCCUGUUGUGAAAAACUGAGGUUUCCACAAGAAAAACUGGAAACAAGUUAUCUGAGAAAAUGCUUUAUGAUGGGUGAAUUCAUCUCACAAAAUUAAACCUUCGUUUUGAUUCAAAAGGUUGGAAUAACUUUUCUUUUCUUCUUCUUCUUCUUUUUUUUUUUUUUUUUUUGGACAGGGUCUUGCUCUGUCACCCAGGCUGAAAUGCAAUGGCACAAUCUCGGCUCACUGGUUCAAGCAAUUCUCCUGCGUCAGCCUCACAAGUAGCUGAGAAUACAGGUGCCAGCCACCACAACUGGCAGUUUUUUUGUAUUUUUAUAAAAGAUGGGGUUUCAGCAUGUUAACCAGGAUGGUCUCGAUUUGCUGACCUCCUGAUCUGCCUGCCUUGGCCUCCCAAAGUGUUGGUAUUACAGGUGGAAUCACUUUUUUUGUAGAAUCUGUGCAGGCACAUUUCUGAGGCCUACAGUGAAAAAUUGUAGGCCUCAUUGAGGCCUACAGUGAAAAAUUGAAUAUCCCUCAAUAAAAAUUACAAACAAGCUAUCUGUGGAAA